UGGGGAAUUUUGGACAAUGGGCGAAAGCCUGAUCCAGCAAUGCCGCGUGUGUGAAGAAGGCCUUCGGGUUGUAAAGCACUUUUGUCCGGAAAGAAAUCCUUGGCUCUAAUACAGUCGGGGGAUGACGGUACCGGAAGAAUAAGCACCGGCUAACUACGUGCCAGCAGCCGCGGUAAUACGUAGGGUGCAAGCGUUAAUCGGAAUUACUGGGCGUAAAGCGUGCGCAGGCGGUUUGCUAAGACCGAUGUGAAAUCCCCGGGCUCAACCUGGGAACUGCAUUGGUGACUGGCAGGCUAGAGUAUGGCAGAGGGGGGUAGAAUUCCACGUGUAGCAGUGAAAUGCGUAGAGAUGUGGAGGAAUACCGAUGGCGAAGGCAGCCCCCUGGGGCCAAUACUGACGCUCAUGCACGAAAGCGUGGGGAGCAAAACAGGAUUAGAUACCCUGGUAGUCCACGCCCUAAACGAUGUCAACUAGUUGUUGGGGAUUCAUUUCCUUAGUAACGUAGCUAACGCGUGAAGUUGACCGCCUGGGGGAGUACGGUCGCAAGAUUAAAACUCAAAGGAAUUGACGGGGUCAUAGCUGUUUCCU
Molecule: ribosomal RNA, 588 nt
Filed under: uncultured bacterium
Lineage: Bacteria
Description: partial 16S ribosomal RNA
Rfam family: Bacterial small subunit ribosomal RNA
Source: RNAcentral